Molecule: ribosomal RNA, 494 nt
Filed under: uncultured bacterium
Lineage: Bacteria
Description: bacterial SSU rRNA
Rfam family: Bacterial small subunit ribosomal RNA
Source: RNAcentral
UCGAGCGAGAACCAGUCCUUCGGGACUGGGGAAAGCGGCGAACGGGUGAGUAACACGUGGGUAAUCUGCCCUCGGCACUGGGAUAGCCCGGGGAAACCCGGAUUAAUACCGGAUAGCCUUUCGAGCCUUCGGGCUCGUCAGAAAAGGUGGCUUCGGCUUCCGGCUGAGGAUGAGCCCGCGGCGGAUUAGCUUGUCGGUGAGGUAAUGGCUCACCAAGGCUCCGAUCUGUAGCUGGUCUGAGAGGACGAUCAGCCACACUGGGACUGAGACACGGCCCAGACUCCUACGGGAGGCAGCAGUAGGGAAUCUUGCGCAAUGGGCGAAAGCCUGACGCAGCGACGCCGCGUGCGGGAAGAAGGCCUUCGGGUUGUAAACCGCUUUCAGGAGGGACGAAGCCACUCGGGUUAAUAGCCCAGAGGGUGACGGUACCUCCAGAAGAAGCCCCGGCUAACUACGUGCCAGCAGCCGCGGUAAUACGUAGGGGGCAAGCGUUG